AUCCUUUUCAAAGGGGAGUAGCUGUUAGGGAAACCUAAAGCAAAGUCGUCAUUUCGCGGUCCUUUUCCGCCGGCUUUGCUGGCAGACCAUGUCUAGCAAGACCUUUGCCUUCAGG
RNAcentral lists this unclassified non-coding RNA (115 nucleotides) under Bacillus sp. B-jedd. Its description in RNAcentral is "yybP-ykoY". Lineage: Bacteria; Bacillati; Bacillota; Bacilli; Caryophanales; Bacillaceae. The record is from RNAcentral.